ACUAUCACCAGUGGUACCUCUACUAUCAUCAGUGGUAGGUACCUCUACUAUCAUCAGUGGUACCUCUACUAUCAUCAGUGGUAUCUCUACUAUCAUCAGUGGCACCUCUACUAUCAUCAGUGGUACCUCUACUAUCAUCAGUGGUAGGUAUCUCUACUAUCAUCAGUGGUACCUAUACUAUCAUCAGUGGUAUCUCUACUAUCAUCAGUGGUAGGUAUCUCUACUAUCAUCAGUGGUAGGUACCUCUACUAUCAUCAGUGGUAGGUACCUCUACUAUCAUCAGUGGUACCUCUACUAUCAUCAGUGGUACCUCUACUAUCAUCAGUGGUAGGUAUCUCUACUAUCAUCAGUGGUACCUCUACUAUCAUCAGUGGUACCUCUACUAUCAUCAGUGGUACCUCUACUAUCAUCAGUGGUAUCUCUACUAUCAUCAGUGGUACCUCUACUAUCAUCAGUGGUAGGUAUCUCUACUAUCAUCAGUGGUACCUCUACUAUCAUCAGUGGUACCUCUACUAUCAUCAGUGGUAGGUAUCUCUACUAUCAUCAGUGGUACCUCUACUAUCUUCAGUGGUACCUCUACUAUCAGCAGUGGUACCUCUACUGUCAUCAGUGGUAGGUAUCUCUACUAUCAUCAGUGGUACCUCUACUAUCAUCAGUGGUACAUCUACUAUCAUCAGUGGUACCUCUACUAUCAUCAGUGGUAGGUAUCUCUACUAUCAUCAGUGGUAUCUCCAAUAUCAUCAGUGGUACCUCUACUAUCAUCAGUGGUACCUCUACUAUCAUCAGUGGUAGGUAUCUCCACUAUCAUCAGUGGUAUCUCUACUAUCAUCAGUGGUAGGUAUCUCUACUAUCAUCAGUGGUACCUAUACUAUCAUCAGUGGUAUCUCUACUAUCAUCAGUGGUAGGUACCUCUACUAUCAUCAGUGGUAUCUCUACUAUCAUCAGUUGUACCUCUACUAUCAUCAGUGGUAGGUAUCUCUACUAUCAUCAGUGGUACCUCUACUAUCAUCAGUGGUAGGUAUCUCUACUAUCAUCAGUGGUACCUCUACUAUCAUCAGUGGUAGGUAUCUCUACUAUCAUCAGUGGUAUCUCUACUAUCAUCAGUGGUACCUCUGCUAUCAUCAGUGGUACCUCUACUAUCAUCAGUGGUACCUCUGCUAUCAUCAGUGGUACCUCUACUAUCUUCAGUGGUACCUCUACUAUCAUCAGCUGUACCUCUACUAUCAUCAGCGGUACCUCUACUAUCAUCAGUGGUAGGUACCUCUACUAUCAUCAGUGGUAUCUCUACAAUCAUCAGUGGUAUCUCUAAUAUCAUCAGUGGUAUCUCUACUAUCAUCAGUGGUAGGUACCUCUACUAUCAUCAGUGGUAUCUCUACUAUCAUCAGUGGUAUCUCUACUAUCAUCAGUGUUAGGUAUCUCUACUAUCAUCAGUGGUACCUCUACUAUCAUCAGUGGUAGGUAUCUCUAAUAUCAUCAGUGGUAUCUCUACUAUCAUCAGUGGUAUCUCUACUAUCAUCAGUGGUAGGUAUCUCUACUAUCAUCAGUGGUAUCUCUACUAUCAUCAGUGGUAUCUCUACUAUCAUCAGUGGUACCUCUACUGUCAUCAGUGGUAUCUCUACUAUCAUCAGUGGUAGGUACCUCUACUAUCAUCAGUGGUACCUCUACUAUCAUCAGUGGUAGGUACCUCUGCUAUCAUCAGUGGUAGGUACCUCUACUAUCAUCAGUGGUACCUCUACUAUCAUCAGUGGUACCUCUACUAUCAUCAGUGGUAUCUCUACUAUCAUCAGUGGCACCUCUACUAUCAUCAGUGGUACCUCUACUAUCAUCAGUGGUAGGUAUCUCUACUAUCAUCAGUGGUACCUCUACUUGGUAUCUCUACUAUCAUCAGUGGUAUCUCUACCAUCAUCAGCGGUAUCUCUACUACCAUCAGUAGUACCUCUACUAUCAUCAGUGGUACCUCUACUAUCAUCAGUGGUACCUCUACUAUCAUCAUUGGUACCUCUACUAUCAUCAGUGGUACCUCUACUAUCAUCAGUGGUACCUCUACUAUCAUCAGUGGUAGGUACCUCUACUAUCAUCAGUGGUACCUCUACUAUCAUCAGUGGUACCUCUACUAUCAUCAGUGGUAGGUAUCUCUACUAUCAUCAGUGGUACCUCUACUAUCAUCAGUGGUACCUCUACUAUCAUCAGUGGUACCUCUACUAUCAUCAGUGUUACCUCUACUAUCAUCAGUGGUACCUCUACUAUCAUCAGUGGUAGGUAUCUCUACUAUCAUCAGUGGUAGGUAUCUCUACUAUCAUCAGUGGUACCUCUACUAUCAUCAGUGGUAGGUAUCUCUACUAUCAUCAGUGGUACCUCUACUAUCAUCAGUGGUACCUCUACUAUCAUCAGUGGUACCUCUACUGUCAUCAGUGGUAGGUAUCUCUACUAUCAUCAGUGGUACCUCUACUAUCAUCAGUGGUACCUCUACUAUCAUCAGUGGUACCUCUACUAUCAUCAGUGGUAGGUAUCUAUAUAAUGUAGUGCACUAUAUAGGGAAUAGGGUGCCAUAGGACUCUGGUCUAAAGUAGUGCACUACAUAGGGAAUAGGGUGCCAUAGGGCUCUGGUAUAAAGUAGUGCACUACAUAGGAAAUAGGGUGCCAUUUGGGACAUUUACUUAGAGACAAUCAGAAGGCUGUACAGUGUUGCUGCGGCAACAGCUCACCUCUAACUGACUGACUGACUGCAAUCUCACUAACUCUCUCAUGGCAACGUUCAAGUCUGGUUUACAGCGCAAAUAUACAAAUAGUUUAAAGAAUGAGAGAAACUAACUCAUUUAUACAACCAUGUACACAUAUGUACAACUCUCUUCAGGUAGGGGGAACACAUUAUUAUAUAUGCAGUAUAUAAUUAUACAUAUUAGGAUUGUCAAAGUUAACAUGUUUAUAAUGUGUUAAUGCGUGACAUUAUUAUCAGCUUACAUUUUUGGGGGGAUAGAUUUUUAGUCAAUGUCUUUACCGAAAGGAACCUUUUAUAAGCAGACGUUUCCGCACGGACCCUUUUAAGGGCAGAACACAACACAGCUACAGUCAAUGUUUGUGCCUUUACAUGGAGUUCCUUUACAUCGCUGAAGACCGUGUGCCUCUGGCAUAAAUCAUAUCAAAGUUAUGUUCAAUAUUACCGGCGCUAUGUUCUUUCUUUCUGCCGUGGAUUUGUGCGCCUUUCGCGGGCCGCUUUCAAACUAGUCAGGAGCAAUCCUUUUUGGGGGGUUUGAUAACAAACGACAUUGUUUAGCUAGCUAGUCAUGUUACCUAGCCUGAUAACUGACCACUGACGAGGCUAUGCACACAUUUGGAUGGCACGGGAAGAACUGAAAAUGAAUGGGCUACUCAAAGACGUGCUUGUAACGUCUGCUUCCAACGCACACUCUCACACACGUAGAUCCCCUGAACGCAGCUCACUCUCCAGAUCCCCGACACCUGAAUUCUGAUCACCUGUUCACACACCUGUAUGUCAUUAUCACACACUAUGUCGUUCAGUUCUUUGCACCUCAUCACUGUGAGCUACCUGCCUCCUCCUGUGUAUGACCUUCUGCCUGCCCCUGGACCCAGCUACCUGCCUCCUCCUGUGUAUGACCUUCUGCCUGCCCCUGGACCCAGCUACCUGCCUCCUCCUGUGUAUGACCUUCUGCCUGCCCCUGGACCCAGAUACCUGCCUCCUCCUGUGGUCCUUUACUAAUAAACACCUGCUCUUGAAACCA
Molecule: long non-coding RNA, 3740 nt
Organism: Salvelinus fontinalis (brook trout)
Lineage: Eukaryota; Metazoa; Chordata; Actinopteri; Salmoniformes; Salmonidae
Exons: 2
Source: RefSeq, a predicted model, not a curated record